CUACGUGCCAGCAGCCGCGGUAAUACGGAGGGUGCGAGCGUUAAUCGGAAUAACUGGGCGUAAAGGGCACGCAGGCGGACUUUUAAGUGAGGUGUGAAAUCCCCGGGCUUAACCUGGGAAUUGCAUUUCAGACUGGGGGUCUAGAGUACUUUAGGGAGGGGUAGAAUUCCACGUGUAGCGGUGAAAUGCGUAGAGAUGUGGAGGAAUACCGAAGGCGAAGGCAGCCCCUUGGGAAUGUACUGACGCUCAUGUGCGAAAGCGUGGGGAGCAAACAGGAUUAGAUACCCUGGUAGUCCACGCUGUAAACGCUGUCGAUUUGGGGAUUGGGCUUUGAGCUUGGUGCCCGUAGCUAACGUGAUAAAUCGACCGCCUGGGGGGUACGGCCGCAAGGUUAAAACUCAAAUGAAUUGACGGGGGCCCGCACAAGCGGUGGAGCAUGUGGUUUAAUUCGAUGCAACGCGAAGAACCUUACCUACUCUUGACAUCCAUGGAAUCCUGUAGAGAUACGGGAGUGC
Molecule: ribosomal RNA, 515 nt
Filed under: uncultured bacterium
Lineage: Bacteria
Description: bacterial SSU rRNA
Rfam family: Bacterial small subunit ribosomal RNA
Source: RNAcentral